This 1357-nucleotide ribosomal RNA is filed under the name Promicromonospora sp. ERI-01. RNAcentral's name for it is "bacterial SSU rRNA". It matches the Rfam family "Bacterial small subunit ribosomal RNA", at positions 59 to 1428 of the family's 1533-position model. Lineage: Bacteria; Bacillati; Actinomycetota; Actinomycetes; Micrococcales; Promicromonosporaceae. The record is from RNAcentral.
CAGUCGAACGGUGAAGCCCAGCUUGCUGGGUGGAUCAGUGGCGAACGGGUGAGUAACACGUGAGCAACCUGCCCUCCACUUCGGGAUAAGCCUUGGAAACGAGGUCUAAUACCGGAUACGAGCACUUACCGCAUGGUGGGUGUUGGAAAGUUUUUCGGUGGGGGAUGGGCUCGCGGCCUAUCAGCUUGUUGGUGGGGUAAUGGCCUACCAAGGCGUCGACGGGUAGCCGGCCUGAGAGGGCGACCGGCCACACUGGGACUGAGACACGGCCCAGACUCCUACGGGAGGCAGCAGUGGGGAAUAUUGCACAAUGGGCGAAAGCCUGAUGCAGCGACGCCACGUGAGGGAUGACGGCCUUCGGGUUGUAAACCUCUUUCAGCAGGGAAGAAGCGCAAGUGACGGUACCUGCAGAAGAAGCGCCGGCUAACUACGUGCCAGCAGCCGCGGUAAUACGUAGGGCGCAAGCGUUGUCCGGAAUUAUUGGGCGUAAAGAGCUCGUAGGCGGUCUGUCGCGUCUGGUGUGAAAUCUCAUGGCUCAACUGUGAGCUUGCAUCGGGUACGGGCAGACUAGAGUGCUGUAGGGGAGACUGGAAUUCCUGGUGUAGCGGUGGAAUGCGCAGAUAUCAGGAGGAACACCGAUGGCGAAGGCAGGUCUCUGGGCAGUUACUGACGCUGAGGAGCGAAAGCAUGGGGAGCGAACAGGAUUAGAUACCCUGGUAGUCCAUGCCGUAAACGUUGGGCACUAGGUGUGGGGCCAGUUCCACUGGUUCUGUGCCGUAGCUAACGCAUUAAGUGCCCCGCCUGGGGAGUACGGCCGCAAGGCUAAAACUCAAAGGAAUUGACGGGGGCCCGCACAAGCGGCGGAGCAUGCGGAUUAAUUCGAUGCAACGCGAAGAACCUUACCAAGGCUUGACAUGUACGAGAAAGCCCCAGAGAUGGGGUUCUCUUUGGACACUCGUACACAGGUGGUGCAUGGUUGUCGUCAGCUCGUGUCGUGAGAUGUUGGGUUAAGUCCCGCAACGAGCGCAACCCUUGUCUCAUGUUGCCAGCGGGUUAUGCCGGGGACUCAUGGGAGACUGCCGGGGUCAACUCGGAGGAAGGUGGGGAUGACGUCAAAUCAUCAUGCCCCUUAUGUCUUGGGCUUCACGCAUGCUACAAUGGCCGGUACAGAGGGCUGCGAUACCGUGAGGUGGAGCGAAUCCCAAAAAGCCGGUCUCAGUUCGGAUCGGGGUCUGCAACUCGACCCCGUGAAGUCGGAGUCGCUAGUAAUCGCAGAUCAGCAACGCUGCGGUGAAUACGUUCCCGGGCCUUGUACACACCGCCCGUCAAGUCACGAAAGUUGGUAACACCCGAAGCU